CUCCCAGUGGCCAAGCUGGCUAAGGCGCGAGACUGUAAUGUUUCACUUUGAACAAAAGUAAUCUUGAGAUCGGGUGUUCGACUCACCCCUGGGAGA
This 96-nucleotide transfer RNA is filed under the name Ascoidea rubescens DSM 1968. RNAcentral describes it as "tRNA-Tyr". It matches the Rfam family "tRNA". Rfam says of the family: Transfer RNA (tRNA) molecules are approximately 80 nucleotides in length. The record is from RNAcentral. Lineage: Eukaryota; Fungi; Ascomycota; Saccharomycetes; Ascoideales; Ascoideaceae.